Labeo rohita (rohu) is the source of this 281-nucleotide long non-coding RNA. RefSeq lists it as uncharacterized. The record is from RefSeq and is a predicted model, not a curated record. NCBI's taxonomy places the organism in Eukaryota, Metazoa, Chordata, Actinopteri, Cypriniformes, Cyprinidae. The transcript has 3 exons.
UAUUAAAUAAUAAUAUUACACAAAUAUUACAUGCAUGUGUUCCUGACACGUUCUUUCAUGUAAAUGAUACACUUCUGUUGAAUAUUUACUUUAUAAAAAUGGUUUAUUGUCUUCAGAAAAAGUCUGUUAGCAUCUGAACUGUAAUGCUAACUAUAAGAGGUUUUGCAGGCAAUUUGUCAUUGGAUGAAAGGAACAGUUUCAGAAAAAAACUUCUACGACACAGGAAAAGUUCCUGAUUUUAAAAUUUCUGAAGGGAGCUGCUGACAGAGAUAUAAAAAACA